RNAcentral lists this ribosomal RNA (284 nucleotides) under uncultured prokaryote. RNAcentral describes it as "partial 16S ribosomal RNA". It matches the Rfam family "Archaeal small subunit ribosomal RNA", at positions 474 to 754 of the family's 1478-position model. The record is from RNAcentral.
CACCGGCGGCUCGAGUGGUAACCCGUUAUUAUUGGGUCUAAAGGGUCUGUAGCCGGCCGGAUAAGUCUCUUGAGAAAUCUGGCAGCUUAACUGUCAGGCUUUCAGGAGAUACUGUCUGGCUCGAGGCCGGGAGAGGUGAGAGGUACUUCAGGGGUAGGGGUGAAAUCUUGUAAUCCUUGAAGGACCACCAGUGGCGAAGGCGUCUCACCAGAACGGACCUGACGGCAAGGGACGAAAGCUAGGGGCACGAACCGGAUUAGAUACCCCCGUAGUCCCUGAGCGGG